RNAcentral lists this ribosomal RNA (375 nucleotides) under uncultured bacterium. RNAcentral describes it as "bacterial SSU rRNA". It matches the Rfam family "Bacterial small subunit ribosomal RNA", at positions 521 to 896 of the family's 1533-position model. The record is from RNAcentral.
UAAUACGAAGGGGGCUAGCGUUGCUCGGAAUUACUGGGCGUAAAGGGCGCGUAGGCGGAUAGUUUAGUCAGAGGUGAAAGCCCAGGGCUCAACCUUGGAAUUGCCUUUGAUACUGGCUAUCUUGAGUUCGGAAGAGGUAAGUGGAAUGCCGAGUGUAGAGGUGAAAUUCGUAGAUAUUCGGCGGAACACCAGUGGCGAAGGCGACUUACUGGUCCGAUACUGACGCUGAGGCGCGAAAGCGUGGGGAGCAAACAGGAUUAGAUACCCUGGUAGUCCACGCUGUAAACGAUGAGAGCUAGUUGUCGGUGUGCAUGCACAUCGGUGACGCAGCUAACGCAUUAAGCUCUCCGCCUGGGGAGUACGGUCGCAAGAUUA